RNAcentral lists this ribosomal RNA (253 nucleotides) under uncultured bacterium. RNAcentral's name for it is "partial 16S ribosomal RNA". It matches the Rfam family "Bacterial small subunit ribosomal RNA", at positions 524 to 776 of the family's 1533-position model. The record is from RNAcentral.
UACGUAGGGCGCAAGCGUUGUCCGGAAUUAUUAGGCGUAAAGAGCUCGUAGGCGGUUUGUCGCGUCUGCUGUGAAAACCUAAGGCUCAACCUUGGGCUUGCAGUGGGUACGGGCAGACUAGAGUGCGGUAGGGGUGACUGGAAUUCCUGGUGUAGCGGUGGAAUGCGCAGAUAUCAGGAGGAACACCGAUGGCGAAGGCAGGUCACUGGGCCGCAACUGACGCUGAGGAGCGAAAGCAUGGGGAGCGAACAGG